AUGUUAUCAAGAAAGGCGGAGGGAAUGACCCUAUGAAGCCUUAGCAACCCUUAGAUUUACUAAGAAGGUGCUAAAUUCUACUUAAUUAUUUGAUUCAUUAAUCGAAAAAUUGGAUAGAUAACUC
Molecule: non-coding RNA, 124 nt
Organism: Winogradskyella psychrotolerans RS-3
Lineage: Bacteria; Pseudomonadati; Bacteroidota; Flavobacteriia; Flavobacteriales; Flavobacteriaceae
Source: Rfam